RNAcentral lists this ribosomal RNA (171 nucleotides) under Triticum aestivum (bread wheat). RNAcentral describes it as "partial small subunit ribosomal RNA". Lineage: Eukaryota; Viridiplantae; Streptophyta; Magnoliopsida; Poales; Poaceae. The record is from RNAcentral.
AUGUUUAUCUCGUCUUCUCUUGGAUGUAUUUGUCUAGAUGGAGAGCUCGGUCUUUUUUUCGUGGAGCUGGCGCUGCUGCAGUACGGCCUAGUCCAGUCUAAGCCCUCCAUGGUUGUUGCUGCUGUUUCGGCAACCAGGAUCACCCCCGAAGAAGACCCCUAUGUGGACUGA